This is a non-coding RNA of Parasteatoda tepidariorum (common house spider), 406 nucleotides long. The record is from RefSeq and is a predicted model, not a curated record. NCBI's taxonomy places the organism in Eukaryota, Metazoa, Arthropoda, Arachnida, Araneae, Theridiidae.
ACAAUAUAUAUUUUUCUUUUCUAUUUUAUUGUUAUUUUUCUUAGUAAUGUUGAAUUUUCUUUUUUCUAGUGUCAGAGAACCGAAAAGGUAGGAAAUCCCCCUCCGCACUUGAGGAAGAUAUGAAGUUUGAAGAAAAAAUCAGGGGAUAUUAUAAGGGUUAUAAGAAAUAAAGAUUCCUACCAAAUUUUCCAUAUAAUAAAAUUGUGUCAUAGUUUACAAAGUAUAUCAAUUUAUUUUUUUCAACUUUUAUGACUUUAUAGAUGUUUAGAAAUUGUAUAAGUUAAUGACUGCCUUGGUUAUAAACUACAGUAGUUUAUCUGAAUGCAAUUGUUACCUUGUACUUUAAAUUUUUAUAUAUAUUCAUUAAAGGAUUUUACUGUUGAAUAAAAGAUUGGAAAUAUUUUUA